UGGGGAAUAUUGGACAAUGGGCGAAAGCCUGAUCCAGCCAUGCCGCGUGUGUGAAGAAGGUCUUCGGAUUGUAAAGCACUUUAAGUUGGGAGGAAGGGCAGUAAGCGAAUACCUUGCUGUUUUGACGUUACCGACAGAAUAAGCACCGGCUAACUCUGUGCCAGCAGCCGCGGUAAUACAGAGGGUGCAAGCGUUAAUCGGAAUUACUGGGCGUAAAGCGCGCGUAGGUGGUUCGUUAAGUUGAAUGUGAAAGCCCCGGGCUCAACCUGGGAACUGCAUCCAAAACUGGCGAGCUAGAGGAGGGCAGAGGGUGGUGGAAUUUCCUGUGUAGCGGUGAAAUGCGUAGAUAUAGGAAGGAACACCAGUGGCGAAGGCGACCACCUGGGCUCAUACUGACACUGAGGUGCGAAAGCGUGGGGAGCAAACAGG
This 429-nucleotide ribosomal RNA is filed under the name Pseudomonadota bacterium. Its description in RNAcentral is "Proteobacteria bacterium partial 16S ribosomal RNA". It matches the Rfam family "Bacterial small subunit ribosomal RNA", at positions 355 to 776 of the family's 1533-position model. Lineage: Bacteria; Pseudomonadati; Pseudomonadota. The record is from RNAcentral.